This 3202-nucleotide long non-coding RNA is filed under the name Salmo salar (Atlantic salmon). RNAcentral's name for it is "lncRNA (ENSSSAG00000084116.1)". The record is from RNAcentral. Lineage: Eukaryota; Metazoa; Chordata; Actinopteri; Salmoniformes; Salmonidae.
AACCUAAGACUGGUGGGUGAAGCAAACACUCAAUCAGCUGUUCAAGUGCCUGUUGAUGCUGGUCAGUCCACAGGAUUGGCUUGUUUGAGGGCACCACAUUACUUACUUUCUUUGUUUUUGUUUUCCGUGGGUGGUGAGGUAAUUUCUCUGAAUCUGCUUUCAGGAGGUCAUACAGGCAGCUGGCCCUCCUAGAAAAGUCUUUGAUGUACUGUCUGUAGUAAGUGAGUAAACAAAGCAUUUUUCUGAGCUGGCCCACAGUCUCUGGUCUGAUUUCUUUCAAUGCUCUUACUGCUUCAAAAUCGGCUGGGUCAACUCGGCUGCCCUCUGCAGACACUAUUCUACCCAAAUAACAGACCUGCGGUUUAAAGAGAUCACACUUACUUGGUUUGAGUUUAAUGCCAUACUCUCUGAGACGCUGCAAAACUUUUCGCACAUCAUUCACAUGGCUGUCGAAUGUUUUACUGAAAACUAGCGUGUCGUCCAGAUAAGGAAUGCAAUGUUAUCCCGGAGCCCUUCCAAACAAUCCUCCAUACACCGCUGAAAAGCUGCAGGAGCGUUCAUGAGGCCGAAUGGCAUACAUAUCCACUCAGAGUCCCCAUGGGGUCACAAAUGCUGUCAGUGGUCUGCUUUCUUCAGAGAUGAACCCCUGGUGAUACGCUUUUCCCUGAUCUAAGAGGGAGAACCAGGAAUUACCACCUAAACUGUCCAUGAUGUCUUGGACCCGAGGGAUGGGCUGGCGGUCGGGAUGUGUCUUUCUGUUCAAGUCUCUGUAAUCUAUACACAACCGGAGGGUCCCGUCCUUCUUCCGAACGCACACGACAGGUGAAGAAUAUGAAGAGUUUGACUUCCUAACCCAGCCCUGGGCUAUGAGGUCAUAAAGGUAACCCUUCAUCUCCUGAUACAGUGGCCUGGGCACUGACAUGUAUGUGCGCUUGACUGGUUUAGAGAAAUAGUCAUUUUCAAUCGUUCAAUACAGCCAAUGUCAUUGUCUGAUCUGGAGAAGGAGUGACACUCUUCUCUAAGCAUUUGCCUAACAACCUCUCUCUGCUCUUCGGUGAGUUGAUUUAAACCUACUGGUGGAUCCCUCUGUUCAGUAGCAGUACAUGGGGUUUGAACGCUUGUGUUAUUCACUGUGGCUGGGGUGACAGUUUUUUCAAAGACCUGGGCAGGUAACAGUCAUAAUGGUUUGUACUGUACCGAUUAUUGUGCAUCCUAGCAGGGCAAUGUCGUGGUCAGUGGGGUUAGAGACAUCAAGCAUGAUAACUGGAAAAACACCUUUCCUGACUGACUAGUGUGUCAAAGAACUCAAGGCCGUCUGGCCACUGCGGGUUCAGGUCUGGCUGGAAAAGCAUUGUCAUGUCCUCUUUGAAAGGCUGGGAAGCUACACGGCACUCAAUCUGAAUGCUACUGUGUUUUGGUACAGCAACCUUCUCUUUCUUGGUUUUCACUGCAUAUUCAUCUGUCUGUUCUGCGCUAACAGCCUGUAUAAAAGCUCUCACCUUGUUUCUUUUGAGGCUUGGGAAAGCUGUUUUUACUGUAUUGUUUAGUCUUGUCGGUCAUUGUCAGGAUGUGCUCGAUAACAUUGAAACCUAUGAUGGGAUGAGAUAGGUGACAGCCUUUCAUUACCAGCACUGGGAUGAUCAGUUCCUUUGUUUGGUCAGUUUCAGAGGCUAGCCGAAAAGUUGUUUCAAUCCAUCCCAGGUAUGGCAUUUCAGUCCCAUUUGCUGCAGUCAACCUUAGAUCAUCAGGUGAGUCCAGGAUUUCUAAAACAUCUCUCAGCCUUGCGUUUGGGAGAGAUUCCUCUUUCCAUCGUUCAUCAAUGACCGAUACCUGAGAGCCUGUGUCCCAUAGAGCUUGGAGGUGGUGGCGAUUCAGGUGACACUCAAUAAGGCACUGUCUGCCGACUAGCGAGGUGACCUUACGGGGGUGGCAACCUUGAGCUAGGGAUGGUAAAGAGUGGGCAUUUCCCUCUGUGCAGGAAAACCUUUCCCUGGUAGAGUCAAUUUUCAGGUGACUGCAUUUUUCCUUAUGUUUAGUCCAAUGUUGGUUUUGACAUACUUUGGAACAGUACAGUGUCUCUUUACAUGAUGAACAUUGUUUCAGGUUCUCAAAUGAAUCUUCUCUGGCACAAUUUGCACAUUUCUGGGACUUUUUGGUAGCUACGGUUAACACUUGUCCCUCAGCGGUAACCCUUCCCCCUUUGAGGGGUCUCCUUGCUAUGCUGUGCUUCUGAAGCUAGCUGUUUGUAAAGCUCUGUUGCACUCUUCUCUUGGAAGUGGGAACGCAGGAUACAUCUAAGUGUGGGAAGGGUUAGCUGGGGUUUACCCUCCAAGUGGCUGCGUAGCUGUGAGCCUGGAGAAAUAGCCCUGACUACUGCGUCUACUAUUUCUACCUCAGGAUAGCCUCUGUUAAGUCCAUUCUCGAUCUGAUGGGCAAGGCUGGAAAAAAAUCCGUUUAUCUUUCUGGCCCGGUUCACCUAUCUGACCAGAAAUUUUAAACUCUUUGCGCCAGUAUGAGCUGGGCUGUGCACUGGGUGAGAGCGUCACGCUCACCUGAAGAUUAGCAUGGGGUUGGGGCUGAUGCAGAGAAUCACUGGCUUUGGCUGCAGUAAUCUGCUCAGUUCCCACCCCUUGUUGUGGGGUUGCAGUUCUCAGUUCGUCUAUUCUGUGAUGUGUUCCGGCUGUUUCAAUAUCAUGGUCAGUUUGCCCUGUUUUGUUAUCUAUGCCACUGAUCAUCUGUCAUUUUGUCUUUAAGUAGCAACAAUUCCGACAUGCCGCCAUCUUCUAACUCUGCAGCUUCCUCUCUUUCAAGGAACCUCAUAAUGUGAGUCAUCACUGAUAUGCGGGAUUUGUCUUGAACAUCUCUUCUCUGUUCGCCUGAGAUGUCAAGGAAAUCACAUAUCUCUAGUAACUUGUCUUUAGUCAGGGUGUGCAAUUCUCCUACUACCUCUUCCUGUAGUUCUCCCAAGGCGGUCGUCAUGUUGACAGAACAGGAGGAACUUUUACUGUGCAGGAGUUGACUCUGAAUUAGAUGGUCCUUACUGUCUCUGAUGGUCGAUCAAUGGCCUCAGCUGACACGUACUUAACCACCAACUUCCAGCUCUCCUCGAACAGCAACACUUUCCUCACUGCAGCCUGCCUGAGUUGUUAUGUGGGGAUUUAGCUGGCUCGGAAUUCAGCGACCAGGAUGUGGAAACUGGACA